GACGAACGCUGGCGGCGUGCCUAAUACAUGCAAGUAGAACGCUGAAGGAGGAGCUUGCUUCUCUGGAUGAGUUGCGAACGGGUGAGUAACGCGUAGGUAACCUGCCUGGUAGCGGGGGAUAACUAUUGGAAACGAUAGCUAAUACCGCAUAAUAGUAGAUGUUGCAUGACAUUUGCUUAAAAGGUGCAAUUGCAUCACUACCAGAUGGACCUGCGUUGUAUUAGCUAGUUGGUGGGGUAACGGCUCACCAAGGCGACGAUACAUAGCCGACCUAAGAGGGUGAUCGGCCACACUGGGACUGAGACACGGCCCAGACUCCUACGGGAGGCAGCAGUAGGGAAUCUUCGGCAAUGGACGGAAGUCUGACCGAGCAACGCCGCGUGAGUGAAGAAGGUUUUCGGAUCGUAAAGCUCUGUUGUAAGAGAAGAACGAGUGUGAGAGUGGAAAGUUCACACUGUGACGGUAUCUUACCAGAAAGGGACGGCUAACUACGUG
Molecule: ribosomal RNA, 495 nt
Filed under: uncultured bacterium
Lineage: Bacteria
Description: partial 16S ribosomal RNA
Rfam family: Bacterial small subunit ribosomal RNA
Source: RNAcentral